GAUGAAUACCUCAACCAGUACAUUUAUGUGGCAGCAAUGUCAGCAGGCAAGAACAGUGACUCAACAGACAGCAGGAACAGCUGCGGCAGUGGCGGAGCCUUCUAUGUCUGGAACAACUGGGCAGGCGUUGGUGACUGACAGGAGAGAAAAAACAAACAAAAGAUGCCCUAAAUAUCUGAGGACUAUGGAGGUUGUUAGUGAUGAAACUUCCGGAUCCCCACCGAUGCCCUUAGUCACACUUGAAAAUAGACAGAUUACUGUAAUUGAAAAACCUUUCGAAGAAAAUACAGAAGCUCUCUCACGCCCGGAAACGCCAACCUCACACCACCCUCACACCCGAUCAGCACUAGCAACGAUUACAG
Molecule: long non-coding RNA, 362 nt
Organism: Bombina bombina (fire-bellied toad)
Lineage: Eukaryota; Metazoa; Chordata; Amphibia; Anura; Bombinatoridae
Exons: 3
Source: RefSeq, a predicted model, not a curated record